Molecule: long non-coding RNA, 339 nt
Filed under: Nicotiana benthamiana
Lineage: Eukaryota; Viridiplantae; Streptophyta; Magnoliopsida; Solanales; Solanaceae
Description: long non-coding RNA (NBEN_LNC030462)
Source: RNAcentral
GGGGGGGGGGGUGUUUGCUUCUGUUGGCUGGCGUUAUGGCAGUAGGGAUGCUAGGUUGAAGGUUGUUGGCUAAAGCUGUGGAAAAGGUGGUGGACGGCUGCUUCGUGGUGGCUUCUGGUGGUGUUGAAUGGAGAUCUGGCCGGCCACUGAAAAGGAAAGGACCUCCGGGGAGUUGCUUAGAUGGAGAGCAAAAGAGCGGUCCUUUGGUGUGGCUUGGUUGAAGGGUGAAAAUUGGUGAGGGAUGGCUGGAGGUCACGCUAGCUCCAUUGUUGUCUUCUUUUCUAGGGUUUUGUUCAAUGUCUUGUUUAAGGAAGAGAAUAUGUGGGGGUUUUGGACUGC